Molecule: unclassified non-coding RNA, 552 nt
Filed under: Hevea brasiliensis (rubber tree)
Lineage: Eukaryota; Viridiplantae; Streptophyta; Magnoliopsida; Malpighiales; Euphorbiaceae
Source: RNAcentral
CCUGCCGGGGAAGUAUUCCGCCAGGAACGCCCCGACCGGCCCAUACACCAUCCCGACGUAGCAAACGAGGAUGAAGAUGAUGAAGAUCGCGACCGGAUAAUUGAUGUUGCCGGGCUGCGUAACCGUUCCCAGCCAAGAAUACAGCGGAUAGUACGUGAUCGCAGCGAGCAACAUGCCUCCCAGGAUCACCGGCUUGCGACCGAUCUGGUCUGACAGCCAGCCAAAGAAGAUCAAGCUCGGCGUUGCAAUGAGCAGCGCGGCUCCCACAAUGUAGGCCGAGGUCAGUGCGUCCACCUUGGACACCUGCUGCAGGAAGUACAGCGCCCAGAACUGGCCGCUGUACCAGACGACGCCUUGCCCGAUCAGCACGAUGGUGGCGAUCCCGACAUAUUUGAUGUUGGCGCUGAGGAAGGCUUCCCUCCAGGGAUUUCUGGUCAUCUGCCCCUUCGCCUUGAUCUCCGCGAAGAUCGGCGUCUCCUGGAGCUGGAGCCGGAUGUAAAUUGCGAUGGCCACCAGCAGGAAGGAUACCAGGAACGGAACGCGCCAGGCCCA